GCAAAACAAACUCGGAAACAGAGAGAAGAGCCGUGGUCAUCAGCGUUUGGGCGUCGUGGAAAGGGAGAGAUGUUGGUCAACGGGUACAAACUUCCAGUUAUAAGAUGAACAAGUUUGGGAAUCUCACUUUCCUUCAGAAAUGUGGGACAGUUUAGCAAAUCUGAAAAUUGUGUGGACACACACACAAGCUCCUGCUGCUGGAGAAGAGAGGGGAUGCAUGCGUCCGCCUGGCCUGGCCCUCUGGGCCCACGGCCAGAACCCGGAGCUCUAAGCAGACCGCACGGUGCACACUGGGCCGCUGGCUUUCACAAGCUGGCUCUGCACGGGCCACCAGGUGGAAGAACUCUCUGAUCCUCAGGGAAGCCAAAGUCCAGUGGACUCUGCAGGGAACAGCCAAGACAGGCAGCAGGUGCCGGUGUCCCCCAUCUCCUGGAAUAGGGAUUUUAAGGGGCCUGGAAGCUGGUCAGAACAAGAUGCAAGGAAGCGCUGGUUCUUUUACCAGUUCUCGAAGGCGUCUGGGACUCAUGAAAGGGCAAGGGCCACUGUCAGAGCGGAAGACAGGACAGCCAGAGCGAGCACCCGGGUGAAUGUCCCAACACAGGAUGGUCAGCAGGGAACGAAUCCGGGUCCUGCCCAGGGCUCAGGUGUCGGGGGCUGGUGACAGGUGAGAACACGCCUUGGGCUGGUGCUCUCUCUGUGAAACACAACCACACUGUCUCCUGCUGACAGGCAGUUGGGACAAUAAACCAAGGAUUCUUCUGGUCAGAUAAGUGGUUUAGACUGAUAAGAUGAUGCUAUACAUUUGCCAAUGGCUGUCCCCUUUAAGGACUCAAGGUGGAGAUCAUGACAGAUGUGAGUGUCCGGGGAUGCUGUGGAACCUCACUGAGAGCACAAAGGGUGCUGACUUCUUUCCAUGGGGAGAGGUCUCCUUCCUCCGAUGCUUCACCUCGAGCCUCUUCAGCAUCCCCUUCCUUCCCUUUGCCUGCUGUGUUCUCAGCGAUGGUGACAGGCUUGAACCAUGACAACCACGGCCUUUUCCAUGCACAAGGCAAGGCCGCACACCAGGCCCCUGUGCUGAAUGUGUUCUUGUCGUUGUCGCUGAGUCCCAGCAGUACUCUUCUAAUUGGGCGUCAUUCUCGUUUUGCGGAGGAGGAGACUGAAGCUCAGAGAGAUGAGCCCCCUUGCCAAGUCCCACAGCUAGGACACAGAGGAACCCAGAU
Molecule: long non-coding RNA, 1220 nt
Filed under: Equus caballus (horse)
Lineage: Eukaryota; Metazoa; Chordata; Mammalia; Perissodactyla; Equidae
Description: lncRNA (ENSECAG00000052977.1)
Source: RNAcentral